This 253-nucleotide ribosomal RNA is filed under the name uncultured bacterium. RNAcentral's name for it is "partial 16S ribosomal RNA". It matches the Rfam family "Bacterial small subunit ribosomal RNA", at positions 524 to 776 of the family's 1533-position model. The record is from RNAcentral.
UACGUAGGGCGCAAGCGUUGUCCGGAAUUAUUGGGCGUAAAGAGCUCGUAGGCGGUUUGUCGCGUCUGUCGUGAAAGCCCACGGCUUAACUGUGGGUCUGCGGUGGAUACGGGCAGACUAGAGGCAGGUAGGGGAGAAUGGAAUUCCCGGUGUAGCGGUGAAAUGCGCAGAUAUCGGGAGGAACACCUGUGGCGAAGGCGGCCCCCUGGUUGGAUACUGACGCUGAUACGCGAAAGCGUGGGGAGCAAACAGG